RNAcentral lists this small RNA (127 nucleotides) under Marmota monax (woodchuck). The record is from RNAcentral. Lineage: Eukaryota; Metazoa; Chordata; Mammalia; Rodentia; Sciuridae.
GCCAGGUGCGGUGCCACACGCCUGUAAUCCCAGCACCUUGGGAGGCUGAGGCAGGAGGACCCUGAGUUCAAAGCCAGCCUUAGCCACUUAGUGAGGCUCUAAGCAACUCAGUGGGACCCUGUCUCUA